This 375-nucleotide long non-coding RNA is filed under the name Bemisia tabaci. RNAcentral describes it as "lncRNA ENSSSA2NGG000929". The record is from RNAcentral. Lineage: Eukaryota; Metazoa; Arthropoda; Insecta; Hemiptera; Aleyrodidae.
UCUGAGUUCCAAAGUGUUCAAAAUAUCCAAAACCCUCUCCUAGAAGUAUCAUUCAUCGAACAGAAAUUGGUUUCUAGCUACGAUGUUGAAGAAAUUAAAGAUCUCAUUUACAAUAAUAAACAAGUCUUCUCCAAAAAGCCAAUUUGGGCGAUAAAUAAUGAGUGGGAGCUAGCGAUACCUCUGCAGAGCUUUGUUGCAGGCUUGUCUGCGGGGCACCAUCAAACCCACUCACCUUUCCAGCAAUUUGUUUAUGUCCUUCUAGCCAAAGCAAAACAGCUGAAUGAUCAGCAAGUAAGUAUAAUUUGUGAAAGAGUUUACUUUUUUAAAUGAUUAUACGUAAUUUUAAAAUGAAAGGUUUCAUAAUUUAUCAGGUUA